Molecule: ribosomal RNA, 351 nt
Filed under: uncultured bacterium
Lineage: Bacteria
Description: bacterial SSU rRNA
Rfam family: Bacterial small subunit ribosomal RNA
Source: RNAcentral
AAUCAACGCUGGCGGCGUGCCUCAGACAUGCAAGUCGAACGCGAAAGUCUCCUUCGGGGGACAAGUAGAGUGGCGCACGGGUGAGUAACACGUAGGUAAUCUACCUUCGGAUGGGGAAGUAACAACCGGAAACGGUUGCUAAUACCGCAUAAUGCAGCGGCACCUAAUGGUGACAGUUGUUAAAGCGGGGGAGUCGUAAGACCUCGCGUCUGAAGAGGAGCCUGCGGCGGAUUAGCAGUUGGUAAGGUAAUGGCUUACCAAGGCUACGAUCCGUAACCGGCCUGAGAGGGCGGUCGGUCACACUGACACUGACAUACGGGUCAGACUCCUACGGGAGGCAGCAGUCGGGAA